GGCAGCGUAGCAUAGUGGUUAAGGAGCAGGACUUGUAACUGAAAGGUUGCGGGUUCGAUUCCAGCCAGGGCGCUGCUG
This 78-nucleotide transfer RNA is filed under the name Megalops atlanticus (tarpon). Its description in RNAcentral is "tRNA-OTHER". The record is from RNAcentral. Lineage: Eukaryota; Metazoa; Chordata; Actinopteri; Elopiformes; Megalopidae.